GAUGAACGCUGGCGGCGUGCUUAACACAUGCAAGUCGAACGAUGAAGCCCAGCUUGCUGGGUGGAUUAGUGGCGAACGGGUGAGUAACACGUGAGUAACCUGCCCUUAACUCUGGGAUAAGCCUGGGAAGCUGGGUCUAAUACCGGAUAGGAGCGCCUACCGCAUGGUGGGUGUUGGAAAGAUUUAUCGGUUUUGGAUGGACUCGCGGCCUAUCAGCUUGUUGGCGAGGUAAUGGCUCACCAAGGCGACGACGGGUAGCCGGCCUGAGAGGGUGACCGGCCACACUGGGACUGAGACACGGCCCAGACUCCUACGGGAGGCAGCAGUGGGGAAUAUUGCACAAUGGGCGAAAGCCUGAUGCAGCGACGCCGCGUGAGGGAUGACGGCCUUCGGGUUGUAAACCUCUUUCAGUAGGGAAGAAGCGAAAGUGACGGUACCUGCAGAAGAAGCACCGGCUAACUACGUG
RNAcentral lists this ribosomal RNA (466 nucleotides) under uncultured bacterium. RNAcentral's name for it is "partial 16S ribosomal RNA". It matches the Rfam family "Bacterial small subunit ribosomal RNA", at positions 28 to 507 of the family's 1533-position model. The record is from RNAcentral.